RNAcentral lists this ribosomal RNA (440 nucleotides) under uncultured bacterium. Its description in RNAcentral is "partial 16S ribosomal RNA". It matches the Rfam family "Bacterial small subunit ribosomal RNA", at positions 338 to 795 of the family's 1533-position model. The record is from RNAcentral.
CCUACGGGUGGCAGCAGUGGGGGAUAUUGCACAAUGGGGGGAACCCUGAUGCAGCGACGCCGCGUGGGUGAAGAAGCGCCUCGGCGCGUAAAGCCCUGUCAGCAGGGAAGAAAAUGACGGUACCUGAAGAAGAAGCCCCGGCUAACUACGUGCCAGCAGCCGCGGUAAUACGUAGGGGGCAAGCGUUAUCCGGAUUUACUGGGUGUAAAGGGGGCGCAGACGGCGAUGCAAGCAAGGAGUGAAAGCGCGGGGCUCAACCCCGGGACUGCUCGUGGAACUGCGUGGCGUGAGUGCAGGAGGGGCAGGCGGAAUUCCUGGUGUAGCGGUGAAAUGCGUAGAUAUCAGGAGGAACACCUGUGGCGAAGGCGGCCUGCUGGACUGCAACUGACGUUGAGGCCCGAAAGCGUGGGGAGCAAACAGGAUUAGAUACCCGGGUAGUC